CAGAUGGACAUCUGUGGAUUAGGUGAAGGAGGGGUUGAGGUCAGGAGGUGAGGACAGAGAUGUGUUGAUACAUGGGGAGACAGAUGGACAUCUGUGGAUUAGGUGAAGGAGGGGUUGAGGUCAGGAGGUGAGGACAGAGAUGUGUUGAUACAUGGGGAGACAGAUGGACAUCUGUGGAUUAGGUGAAGGAGGGGUUGAGGUCAGGAGGUGAGGACAGAGAUGUGUUGAUACAGGGGAGACAGAUGGACAUCUGUGGAUUAGGUGAAGGAGGGGUUGAGGUCAGGAGGUGAGGACAGAGAUGUGUUGAUACAGGGGAGACAGAUGGACAUCUGUGGAUUAGGUGAAGGAGGGGUUGAGGUCAGGAGGUGAGGACAGAGAUGUGUUGAUACAUGGGGAGACAGAUGGACAUCUGUGGAUUAGGUGAAGGAGGGGUUGAGGUCAGGACAGCGAUGUGUUGAUACAGGGAGACAGAUGGUCAUCUGUGGAAUAGGUGAAGGAGGGGUUGAGGUCAGGAGGUGAGGACAGAGAUGUGUUGAUACAGGGGAGACAGAUGGACAUCUGUGGAUUAGGUGAAGGAGGGGUUGAGGUCAGGAGGUGAGGACAGAGAUGUGUUGAUACAUGGGGAGACAGAUGGACAUCUGUGGACUAGGUGAAGGAGGGGUUGAGGUCAGAGAUGUGUUGAUACAGGGAGACAUCUGGGUAUUAGAUGAGAGGUUGAGGUCAGGACAGAUUCUCUGAAGAGAGUAAUUUAAUGUUUGGUAUCCUGUUACCCUCUUUAUUAGCUUCCUGUGGAGCCAUGAAAUGUAGGGAUUGGAGAGAAAGGGGAGUGUCUUAAGUAGGAUGUAUAUAAACUGUGAAGUCUGAAAUCUUUAGCUGUCUGAUUUUCUGCUGUACAGAACCUUUGGGAAAUGAUUAAACUUGGUUAAAGCUUCUCUAGAGUCUGAGUUAUUUACUCUGAAAAAUAAGAACCUAACAGUGGUAUGAUAUAAGUCUAUAAUGUAAAGUCCCACUAAUGGUCUCUCAACAACAUAGUCAUGUCCUGUCCCACUAAUGGUCUCUCAACAACAUAGGUCAGUCAUGUCCUGUCCCACUAAUGGUCUCAACAACAGGUCAGACAUGUCCUGUCCCACUAAUGGUCUC
Long non-coding RNA from Oncorhynchus tshawytscha (Chinook salmon), 1140 nucleotides. NCBI's taxonomy places the organism in Eukaryota, Metazoa, Chordata, Actinopteri, Salmoniformes, Salmonidae. The record is from Ensembl.